Molecule: long non-coding RNA, 614 nt
Filed under: Homo sapiens (human)
Lineage: Eukaryota; Metazoa; Chordata; Mammalia; Primates; Hominidae
Description: non-protein coding lnc-WRB-1:1
Source: RNAcentral
CGGGGUUUCACCAUUUACUUACCUAGACUGUCUCAAACUGCUGGGCUCAAGCGAUGCACCUGCCUUGGGGGAUUCUUAGUAAAUCUACAGGGCUGUGCAACCAUCACCACAAUCCAGUUUUGGAACACUUAAAUCACCUGGAAAAGAUCCCGCCUGUCCAUCUGCAGCCAAUCCUGGCCAUAACUCCCGAAGCCCCAGGCAGAAUGUACCAAGAUUGCAACAUCCUGAGAUAAAGAGGAACAACCCAGGCUCUCUCCACGAUCCUCCUAGAACAGAUGUCCUGCAACACUUGUGAUCAGUUAAGUCAAGUCCUGGCCAGAGUAUAAAACCCAGAGUUGGGGGGUGGUGUGCUUUCUGAGUCCCUCAGCUGCAGUGUGAAGUGGAGCUCGUGCAGAUGAGACUUCCUCUGUCCUAUGCACCUUUCUUGAGGCUUGGGGACCAGCUCACCGUGGAUCCUAGGCUUCUGUUGGCUUUUGCCGCCUUUCUGGGAGUAAUAAAGUUGCUUUGCCUUACUUGUGUAAGUGUUCUAUCUCCCUGGACUUAUACUCGGACAGCUGGGUUUGUGCAAAAUCUCCUAGCAAAUGCAGGAAUCUUAGCAGAAAUUAACGAGGUGU